AAAUUGAGGCUUAAAAAGGUUUAGGAAUUUGUCAAAGAUCACAGAGCCUUAGAAAAUAGUGGAAUUUCAUUUCCAGGUCUUUUAACUACAGACGUCUUUUCAUUCAUUUAUUCAUGUAUUAAUUUGACGCAUAUUGAUUAUGCCUCUGCAUGGGCACUGACCAGGGGUGGGGAUAACAGAGUGCCCUGUGUGCCUGAUCUUCAUGGCCCUUUCCUGAAAUUCCUGUCUAUAGCCCUCCCUCAGCACUAAGUCGCUUUAGUUUAAAAAGUAGAAAAUACCAUCAUGUUGAAAAACCCAUCAAUACAUAAAUUUGUGGCACGUGGGACACCGCCUCAGCGUGGCUUAAUGAGUGGUGCUAGGUCCGUGCCCAGGAUCCGAACUGGUAAAACCCUGGGCCACUGGAGGAGCAGAGCGCACAAACCUAACCACUCGGCCCUGAGGCGGCCCCAAGGUGUUCUGAAUUCCCAGCAGCACCCUGAAGGCACAGGCUCGCAUCAGACUUCUGGCUGCAGGCUUCAUCUUAUGCCUGAGAUUCUCAUGAUCGCUUCUCUGACAAGUCAACUGCUCCUCAUCCUUGCACACUCCCUUAAAAAGGCGCUCUCCAUUUGUAUUACAAUUCAAUGGUGUGACUCCAAACCUACUCUUUGCCUCAAAGGCCAGGCUCUCCUCUGAGCUGCCCGAUCAAUGACUCUUCCUCAUCAGAUUUCAUCCAUUGCCCUUCUGGAAAUGGCUUUCUCUUCUGAGGAAGAUCUGGUGCUCGCUCUUCUGGAUACCACAAUGUAUACACCUGUUCUAUACACCAGUAGUUGGCUCCUCAGAGGCAGGGACCAGAGAAUGUGUACUCUCUCACCACAGACUCCUUUUAGGAGUACCUGAACAGUGCCUCAGAGACUAAUUCAGGUCAGUUUCCCCUGUUGGACCAGAAACUCCUUGAGGACGUAGCCAUGUCUUAUUCAUCUCUGUAUCCCACCGCCUAGGACAAUAGGCAGCUCAAUAAAUGCUUAAUAAACCUUUCAAACAAAUGGAAUAUUAAAAUAUUCAAAUAUUAGAUUUUUCAAUUCACUUACAACAUGGAUCACUAAAACUGCAUUUAGCACAUGUUUACAUUUUCAUCCAAAUGUCUAUAGUUUUUAAUAAAGUCCCAUCUUCUGAAUAAAUAAAACUCCAUUUUAAGAUAUUACCACUCCAUGAUCUGUGAGCAGAUUCCUUCAAUCCCAGGAGUGCUCUUUGCUAAAUGCAUGGUUUUGCAUAUAUUAGUUAAUUUCCUCUAAUACUAGGAGGAAGUUGGGAAGAAAUUCAUAUAUAAUGUGCUAUAAUCUUUUUCUCACAUAAGUAUGGAGAGUGUAACUACCCCACCAGGAGGAAGUUUGAUGUAAAUUUAUCACACUAGGUUUGGGGAGAAGCAGUUCUCUCCUGAUUAUUUCUGCACUCUUCAUUCUGGCCAGACGGCAGUUCCCCCAAUGUGGGAAAGCACAGGCAAAUGAGGCAGAAGACAGGAGUUUGUGUUCUUGGGCUGCUGUUUACAGGUUUUGUGACCUUGCACAAGCAAUUUAAAUGCCCUGAGUCUCAGUUCCUUUAUUUGGUUAUUUCAUAGGGAAUUGGGCCAGGUCAAAGGGCAUCAUGUAUAUGAAAGUGCUUUGUGUCCCACAACCUGCAGGACAGAACUCAGUGAAAAAGCAGCAUGAGUGGAAAACACAUGGGUUUGGAAGACAACAGAUCAGUUUCAAAUCUUGGUUUUGCCACUUUUGUGUGACUUUGGGCACAAUACUUAACUUCCUGGACAACUACUUUCCUCAUUUG
RNAcentral lists this long non-coding RNA (1800 nucleotides) under Equus caballus (horse). RNAcentral's name for it is "lncRNA (ENSECAG00000047928.1)". The record is from RNAcentral. Lineage: Eukaryota; Metazoa; Chordata; Mammalia; Perissodactyla; Equidae.